This is a long non-coding RNA of Sinocyclocheilus grahami, 164 nucleotides long. RefSeq lists it as uncharacterized. The record is from RefSeq and is a predicted model, not a curated record. The transcript is spliced from 3 exons. NCBI's taxonomy places the organism in Eukaryota, Metazoa, Chordata, Actinopteri, Cypriniformes, Cyprinidae.
GGGUCCACCUGGACGAGAGGGGCCUAUGGGCAGUCCAGGACCACCAGGAGAGAGGGGUUUCCCUGGAAAGACAGGAGCAGUGGGACCGCAGGGCCCUGUUGGCAUGUAUGGUUUUCCAGGAAACGUGGGUAUGAGAGGAAGACUGGGCCACACUGGAAACAGAG